AACGAACGCUGGCGGCAUGCCUAACACAUGCAAGUCGAACGAGACCUUCGGGUCUAGUGGCGCACGGGUGCGUAACGCGUGGGAACCUGCCUUUAGGUUCGGAAUAACUCAGAGAAAUUUGAGCUAAUACCGGAUAAAUGUCUUCGGACCAAAGAUUUAUCGCCUUUAGAUGGGCCCGCGUUGGAUUAGCUAGUUGGUGGGGUAAAGCCUACCAAGGCGACGAUCCAUAGCUGGUCUGAGAGGAUGAUCAGCCACACUGGGGACUGAGACACGGCCCAGACUCCUACGGGAGGCAGCAGUGGGAAUAUGGACAAUGGCGAAAGCCUGAUCCAGCAAUGCCGCGUGAGU
RNAcentral lists this ribosomal RNA (348 nucleotides) under uncultured bacterium. RNAcentral's name for it is "bacterial SSU rRNA". It matches the Rfam family "Bacterial small subunit ribosomal RNA", at positions 29 to 406 of the family's 1533-position model. The record is from RNAcentral.